This 1170-nucleotide long non-coding RNA is filed under the name Anolis carolinensis (green anole). RNAcentral describes it as "lncRNA (ENSACAG00000039784.1)". The record is from RNAcentral. Lineage: Eukaryota; Metazoa; Chordata; Lepidosauria; Squamata; Anolidae.
AUGAUCUUCGCCGGGAACUGGACAAGGGGAGUGUGUCCUUGCUGGUUCUGCUGGACCUCUCAGCGGCCUUCGAUACCGUUGACCACGGUAUCCUUCUGGGACGACUCGCCGGGUUGGGCAUUGGAGGCACUGUUCUGCAGUGGCUCCGGUCCUUCCUGGAGGGACGAUCCCAGAUGGUGUCACUGGGGGACACCUGCUCGGCUCCACAGCCAUUGUCCUGUGGGGUCCCCGCAGGGGUCGAUAUUGUCCCCCAUGUUGUUUAACAUCUACAUGAAGCCGCUGGGAGAGAUCAUCCGGAGUUUCGGGGUAAGAUGUCAUCUGUACGCAGAUGAUGUCCAGCUCUGUCACUCCUUCCCACCUGUCACUAAGGAGGCUGUCCAGGUCCUGAACCGGUGUCUGGCCGCUGUGUCGGACUGGAUGAGGGCCAAUAAAUUGAAACUGAAUCCAGACAAGACGGAGGUCCUCCUGGUUAGUCGCAAGGCUGAACAGGGAAUAGGGUUCCAGCCUGUGUUGGACGGGGUCGCACUCCCCCUAAAGACGCAGGUUCACAGUCUGGGGGUCCUCCUGGACUCAUCGCUGAGCCUGGAGCCUCAGGUUUCAGCGGUGGCCGGGAGAGCCUUCGCACAACUCCGCCUCGUGCGCCAGCUGCGCCCGUUCCUUGGGAGGUCUGACUUGGCCACGGUGGUCCACGCUCUGGUCACAUCCCGGCUGGAUUACUGCAACGCACGCUACGUGGGGCUGCCUUUGAAGAUGGCCCGGAAGCUCCAGCUGGUGCAGCGGGCGGCAGCCAGGUUAAUAACGGGAGCGGCUUACAGGGAGCGUACAACCCCCCUGCUAAGCCAGCUCCACUGGCUGCCGAUAUGCUACCGAGCCCAAUUCAAAGUGCUGGUUUUGACCUACAAAGCCCUAAACGGUUCUGGUCCUGCCUAUCUAUCCGAACGUAUCUCCUCCUAUGAGCCCGUUAGAACCUUAAGACCUUCCGGGGAGGCCCUGCUCUCGAUCCCACCUGCCUCGCAGGCGCGGCUGGUGGGGACGAGGGACAGGGCCUUCUCGGUGGUGGCUCCUUGGCUGUGGAACUCCCUCCCCAGCGAUAUCCGGCAAACCCCAUACCUCCUGGGAUUUAGAAGAAAACUAAAAACUUGGCUCUGCGCCCAGGCAUUCAGCGAAUAA